This 77-nucleotide transfer RNA is filed under the name Tissierellia bacterium. RNAcentral's name for it is "tRNA-Arg". It matches the Rfam family "tRNA". Rfam says of the family: Transfer RNA (tRNA) molecules are approximately 80 nucleotides in length. Their secondary structure includes four short double-helical elements and three loops (D, anti-codon, and T loops). The record is from RNAcentral. Lineage: Bacteria; Bacillati; Bacillota; Tissierellia.
GCACCCUUAGCUCAGUUGGAUAGAGCAGUUGCUUCCGGAGCAAAAGGUCGGGGGUUCGAGUCCUCUAGGGUGUGCCA